CCCGCUAUUGGAGCGGCCGAUGUCGGAUUAGCUAGUUGGUGAGGUAAAGGCUCACCAAGGCGACGAUCCGUAGCUGGUCUGAGAGGAUGAUCAGCCACACUGGGACUGAGACACGGCCCAGACUCCUACGGGAGGCAGCAGUGGGGAAUUUUGGACAAUGGGGGCAACCCUGAUCCAGCCAUUCCGCGUGAGUGAAGAAGGCCUUCGGGUUGUAAGACUCUUUCGGCAGGAACGAAACGGUGGGCUCUAACAUAGUCUGCUAAUGACGGUACCUGAAGAAGAAGCACCGGCUAACUACGUGCCAGCAGCCGCGGUAAUACGUAGGGUGCGAGCGUUAAUCGGAAUUACUGGGCGUAAAGCGUGCGCAGGCGGUUUUGUAAGACAGAUGUGAAAUCCCCGGGCUUAACCUGGGAACUGCGUUUGUGACUGCAAGACUCGAGUGUGGCAGAGGGGGGUGGAAUUCCACGUGUAGCAGUGAAAUGCGUAGAGAUGUGGAGGAACACCGAUGGCGAAGGCAGCCCCCUGGGUCAACACUGACGCUCAUGCACGAAAGCGUGGGUAGCAAACAGGAUUAGAU
RNAcentral lists this ribosomal RNA (577 nucleotides) under uncultured bacterium. RNAcentral's name for it is "bacterial SSU rRNA". It matches the Rfam family "Bacterial small subunit ribosomal RNA", at positions 214 to 783 of the family's 1533-position model. The record is from RNAcentral.